RNAcentral lists this ribosomal RNA (519 nucleotides) under Lactobacillus johnsonii. Its description in RNAcentral is "bacterial SSU rRNA". It matches the Rfam family "Bacterial small subunit ribosomal RNA", at positions 47 to 526 of the family's 1533-position model. Lineage: Bacteria; Bacillati; Bacillota; Bacilli; Lactobacillales; Lactobacillaceae. The record is from RNAcentral.
CCUAAUACAUGCAAGUCGAGCGAGCUUGCCUAGAUGAUUUUAGUGCUUGCACUAAAUGAAACUAGAUACAAGCGAGCGGCGGACGGGUGAGUAACACGUGGGUAACCUGCCCAAGAGACUGGGAUAACACCUGGAAACAGAUGCUAAUACCGGAUAACAACACUAGACGCAUGUCUAGAGUUUGAAAGAUGGUUCUGCUAUCACUCUUGGAUGGACCUGCGGUGCAUUAGCUAGUUGGUAAGGUAACGGCUUACCAAGGCAAUGAUGCAUAGCCGAGUUGAGAGACUGAUCGGCCACAUUGGGACUGAGACACGGCCCAAACUCCUACGGGAGGCAGCAGUAGGGAAUCUUCCACAAUGGACGAAAGUCUGAUGGAGCAACGCCGCGUGAGUGAAGAAGGGUUUCGGCUCGUAAAGCUCUGUUGGUAGUGAAGAAAGAUAGAGGUAGUAACUGGCCUUUAUUUGACGGUAAUUACUUAGAAAGUCACGGCUAACUACGUGCCAGCAGCCGCGGUAAUAC